AGUAUAGUGCCUGAUUGAAAAGGAUAGCUUUGAUAGAGCUAAUCAUGUAUAUUAUUAUACCUAUGCUA
Molecule: transfer RNA, 68 nt
Filed under: Parasesarma affine
Lineage: Eukaryota; Metazoa; Arthropoda; Malacostraca; Decapoda; Sesarmidae
Also listed under: 1 other name
Description: tRNA-Ile
Source: RNAcentral